AGAGUUUGAUCCUGGCUGAGAGUGAWCGCUCAGAACGACUAACACCGGCAGGCCKAACACAUGCACAGUCGAGCGCCCCGCAAGGGGAGCGGCAGACGGGUGAGUAACACAUGGGAAUCUACCCUGUCGUGGGGAAUAACGUAGGGAAACUUACGCUAAUACCGUAUGUGUCCUUUGGGAGAAAGAUUCUAUCGCGAAUAGAUGAGCCCGCGUCGGAUUAGCUAGUUGGCGGGGUAAAGGCCUACCAAGGCGACGAUCCAUAGCUGGUCUGAGAGGAUGAUCAGCCACAUUGGGACUGAGACACGGCCCAAACUCCUACGGGAGGCAGCAGUGGGGAAUAUUGGACAAUGGGCGCAAGCCUGAUCCAGCCAUGCCGCGUGAGUGAUGAAGGCCUUCGGGUUGUAAAGCUCUUUCACCGGAAAAGACCUAAUGACGGUAUCCGGAGAAGAAGCCCCGGCUAACUUCGUGCCAGCAGCCGCGGUAAUACGAAGGGGGCUAGCGUUGUUCGGAAUUACUGGGCGUAAAGCGCACGUAGGCGGAUCGAUCAGUCAGGGGUGAAAUCCCAGGGCUCAACCCUGGAACUGCCUUGGAUACUGUCGAUCUGGAGUAUGGAAGAGGUGAGUGGAAUUCCGAGUGUAGAGGUGAAAUUCGUAGAUAUUCGGAGGAACACCAGUGGCGAAAGCGGCUCACUGGUCCAUUACUGACGCUGAGGUGCGAAAGCGUGGGGAGCCAACAGGAUUAGAUACCCUGGUAGUCCACCCCGUAACGAUGAAUGUUAGCCGUCGGGC
RNAcentral lists this ribosomal RNA (788 nucleotides) under Stenotrophomonas sp. NO11. Its description in RNAcentral is "bacterial SSU rRNA". It matches the Rfam family "Bacterial small subunit ribosomal RNA", at positions 1 to 828 of the family's 1533-position model. Lineage: Bacteria; Pseudomonadati; Pseudomonadota; Gammaproteobacteria; Lysobacterales; Lysobacteraceae. The record is from RNAcentral.